Molecule: ribosomal RNA, 168 nt
Filed under: uncultured rumen bacterium
Lineage: Bacteria
Description: partial 16S ribosomal RNA
Rfam family: Bacterial small subunit ribosomal RNA
Source: RNAcentral
UACGGGAGGCAGCAGUAGGGAAUAUUGCACAAUGGAGGGAACUCUGAUGCAGCGACGCCGCGUGAGUGAAGAAGUAUCUCGGUAUGUAAAGCUCUAUCAGCAGGGAAGAUAAUGACAGUACCUGACCAAGAAGCCCCGGCUAACUACGUUGCCAGCAGCCGCGGUAAU